RNAcentral lists this unclassified non-coding RNA (217 nucleotides) under soil metagenome. RNAcentral's name for it is "partial contains 5.8S ribosomal RNA, internal transcribed spacer 2, and large subunit ribosomal RNA". The record is from RNAcentral.
AAGACUAUAGACCUGCGGAGUACCUGCGGAAGGAUCAUUAUCGAGUUUACAACUCCCAAACCAUUGUGAAUCUUACCUUUUCGUUGCUUCGGCGGGAUCGCCCCGGGCGCUUCGGUGCCCCGGAUUCAGGCGCCCGCCGGGGGACCUAAACUCUUGUAUUAUAGUGGAUUUCUGAGUGGAUUACACAAAUAAUCAAAACUUUUAGCAAUGGAUCUCU